This 301-nucleotide ribosomal RNA is filed under the name uncultured bacterium. RNAcentral describes it as "partial 16S ribosomal RNA". It matches the Rfam family "Bacterial small subunit ribosomal RNA", at positions 509 to 807 of the family's 1533-position model. The record is from RNAcentral.
CAGCAGCCGCGGGAAUACGAAGGGGGCUAGCAUUGUUCGGAUUUACUGGGCGUAAAGGGCGCGUAGGCGGACUGAUAAGUCAGGGGUGAGAUCCCAAGGCUCAACCUUGGAACUGCCUUUGAUACUGUUUGUCUUGAGUUCGAGAGAGGUAAGUGGAACUGCGAGUGUAGAGGUGAAAUUCGUAGAUAUUCGCAAGAACACCAGUGGCGAAGGCGGCUUACUGGCUCGAAACUGACGCUGAGGCGCGAAAGCGUGGGGAGCAAACAGGAUUAGAUACCCGUGUAGUCCCUGUCUCUUAUAC